Lolium rigidum is the source of this 1663-nucleotide RNA transcript. It is a transcript of the gene named calcium uptake protein, mitochondrial-like, with no coding region annotated. The transcript is spliced from 9 exons. Lineage: Eukaryota; Viridiplantae; Streptophyta; Magnoliopsida; Poales; Poaceae. The record is from RefSeq and is a predicted model, not a curated record.
UCCCACCGCACCGCCAUGGCCGCGCUGCGCCGCGCCUCGCUCCUCCGAUCCGCUCUCGGGCGGCUCGGCUCCCUCCGGCCAUUCUCCGCGGAGGCUGCCGCCCCGCCCCGCCGCGACGCGGCCGCGGCGCUGGCGGCCGCGCUGGCUGCCGGGUCGGGGCUGGGGAUCUGGCUGCUGCCCACGUCGCGCCCGCUCGCGGACUCCGGCCAGGCCGACUUCGCCGUCGCGGAGGCCGGCUACGGGGGCGCGGCCGCAGCGGAGGAGCCAGAGGAGAAGGGCAGGUUCCUCUUCGGAGACUCGUACCGCAGAAGGGUCUUCUUCAACUACGAGAAGCGGAUUCGGACGCGCAGCCCUCCCGAGAAGAUCUUCGAGUACUUCGCGUCCGCCCGGAACCCGGAGGGCGAGGUGUACAUGUCACCAGCCGACCUGAUGAGGGCGGUCGUACCCGUUUUCCCUCCAUCCGAAUCUAAUGUCGUCAGGGAGGGAAGGCUCAGAGGGGAACGCAACCCAGGGGAGCUGGAGUGUGCACCUUCUGAGUUUUUCAUGCUAUUCGACACAAAUGGUGAUGGCCUCAUCUCCUUUGCUGAGUACAUCUUUUUCGUGACAUUGCUUAGCAUCCCUGAGUCCAGCUUCAAUAUAGCUUUCAAGAUGUUUGACCUUGACCACAGCGGGGAAAUAGAUAAAGAAGAGUUCAAGAAAGUGAUGACAUUGAUGCGGUCCUAUAAUAGGCAAGGAGCUGCCCACAGGGAUGGGUUUCGUAUUGGACUGAAGGUUGGUCAGCCAGUGGAAGACGGUGGUCUGCUUGAGUACUUCUUUGGCAAGGAUGGGAGUGAAACUUUACCAUAUGAAAAGUUCUCCAACUUUUUGAAGCAAUUGCAUGAUGAGAUUGUUCGUUUGGAAUUCAGUCACUAUGAUAUAAAAUCAUCUAAGACAAUAUCUGCGAAGGACUUUGCAUUAUCCAUGGUUGCUUCAGCUGACAUGAAUCACAUAAAUAAGCUACUUGACAGAGUUGAUGAUUUUGAUGAAUCUCCUGAUGUCAAGGAUUUGCGCAUUACCUUUGAGGAGUUCAAGGCUUUUGCUGAUCUCCGGCGAAGAUUGGAACCAUUUACAAUGGCUAUCUUCAGUUAUGGAAAAGUGAACGGUUUGCUGACAAAGCAGGAUCUGAAACGUGCUGCAACUCAUGUUUGUGGUGUGGACUUGACUGAUAAGGUGGUGGACGUCAUUUUCCAUGUUUUUGAUGCAAACUGUGAUGGUAACCUAAGCUCAGAGGAGUUCUUGAGGGCAUUACAAAGACGGGAAAGCAAUAUUCGCCAGCCAACCACUCCAGGUCUAAUGGGUGUAUUAUCCUGCUGGCUGAACUGUACGAAGUGUUCUUUUCAACAGAUGCAGCUCCAGUAGAAUAUCUUGGAGAUUAGCCUUCUGCUGCCAUGAGUCAGUCUCUCUAUUUGAUGAGCUGGGAGAACGAAAUACAACCACCACUAGAUGUCAGCUGAGACGAUCUUGUUGUAAAUAUUGUCCAGCUGAUCAGAGUUGCCCAAUUAUGUAGCAGCUGUAAAUAAAGUACUCUAUUUCGUUCUGGCCCAUGGGCAGUUGACAGAUCUCUCGUUCACUGAUGUAAUGAACCUAUGACUUUGGACCUCGUCUAUUGUAGUGCUAAGCUCUA